RNAcentral lists this long non-coding RNA (241 nucleotides) under Mytilus galloprovincialis (Mediterranean mussel). Lineage: Eukaryota; Metazoa; Mollusca; Bivalvia; Mytilida; Mytilidae. The record is from RNAcentral.
GGGCCUUUCAUUUUAUCAUUUUUGGAAUGGAAAGGUGGCAUUAAAUUUUAUAUAGUUAUAAAUUUGCCGCGGUAUAAUGUUAUGGCGAAUUCUUCGUCAUCCGUAGGCAUCAAUCUUUACGCCUCGUUCCGCUCACCUGGAUUGUUAAAACCUGAAUAUUUAGUUUCAACAAUUUCUUCUAGCAGAGAAUUUUUCAUCUGAAGCUAAUAUUGAAUGAAGGUGUGGUAAAUAUUAAUGAAAC